Molecule: ribosomal RNA, 253 nt
Filed under: uncultured bacterium
Lineage: Bacteria
Description: partial 16S ribosomal RNA
Rfam family: Bacterial small subunit ribosomal RNA
Source: RNAcentral
AACGUAGGUGGCGAGCGUUAUCCGGAUUUACUGGGCGUAAAGCGUGUGCAGGCGGACCACCAAGUGGUGUAUGAAAUCGCUCGGCUAAACCGGGCGGGGUUAUGCCAGACUGGUGGUCUGGAGUGCGAGAGAGGGGCGUGGAAUUCCGGGUGUAGUGGUGAAAUGCGUAGAGAUCAUGAGGAAGACCAGUGGCGAAGGCGGGUCUCUGGACAGUUCCUGACACUGAGGCACGAAGGCCAGGGGAGCAAACGGG